Molecule: ribosomal RNA, 405 nt
Filed under: uncultured bacterium
Lineage: Bacteria
Description: bacterial SSU rRNA
Rfam family: Bacterial small subunit ribosomal RNA
Source: RNAcentral
AUUGAACGCUGGCGGCAGGCCUAACACAUGCAAGUCGAACGGUAACAGGAAACAGCUUGCUGUUUCGCUGACGAGUGGCGGACGGGUGAGUAAUGUCUGGGAAACUGCCUGAUGGAGGGGGAUAACUACUGGAAACGGUCAUAACGUCGCAAGACCAAAGAGGGGGACCUUCGGGCCUCUUGCCAUCGGAUGUGCCCAGAUGGGAUUAGUUAGUAGGUGGGUAACGGCUCACCUAGGCGACGAUCCCCUAGCCUGGUCUGAGAGGAUGACCAGCCACACUGGAACUGAGACACGGGUCCAGACUCCUACGGGAGGCAGCAGUGGGGAAUAUUGCACAAUGGGCGCAAGCCUGAUGCAGCCAUGCCGCGUGUAUGAAGAAGGCCUUCGGGUUGUAAGGUACUUUUC